Molecule: non-coding RNA, 1158 nt
Organism: Polyodon spathula (Mississippi paddlefish)
Lineage: Eukaryota; Metazoa; Chordata; Actinopteri; Acipenseriformes; Polyodontidae
Source: the annotation of a RefSeq genome assembly
GUCAAUACAAGAGCCAUGUGUUUCUCAGUGAGCUGGGAUUGCCAUGGCAAUGGAGUGUGAUCAGUCACUGUGUGCAUCCUUUCACACACAUCAAUCAAUCAAUCAAUAAAGAAAUCAAUACAUGAGUGUUCUACCUUUUCUCCUGGCUUGUUAAAUAUUAGCAUGAUUGAAAUCAUGAAAACACACUCGUAGCAGUUCAAGGUACCUCUUGGAAAGGCCUGUGAAAGACAGUGAAGUAGAUGUUACAUUUAGAAGAGGAAGAAGCUGUCAAAAUGUGAACAAUGACAAGAACAAUGACAGGUCCAUUACUUGUACAGCAGCAGCAACACAUGGGAAGGUAUAACACUAGGGUUAGGGGUAGGGCACUACAUAUCCUUUAAUUCUCAAUAGGACUGAAAUAAUGACACAAACAGAAGCAUUAUUGUCAGUUUAGACAGACACACAGAUUAGACAGCAGUGAUAUACUGAGAGCUUUGACUGGGGGAAAAAUAGAAGAAAACAGUAAAAGUGGCCCAACCCUAUGAAGCCCCACUGGUGCUCACGGCUCAGAUCUCAUGUAACUGCCUGGGACAGGAUUUGUAUAAAGGAAGGUGCUUUGCAUACCUGUGCCUGCCUCACUGCUCUACACAACAGCUAGAAUAACUGCACUGCUCCAUUGCUCAGGGGUUUUAAAGCUGACAGUUGAGCCCUUUCACAGUCACUGAGACACACAGAGAGCAUGGCUUCACUGGGGCUCCUCCUCUGGACACUGGCACUCUUUGCUCAUGAAUCCAGCGGUCAGAUUGUCCUGACUCAGAGUCCCACAGUGGAGUCUGUCUCUAUAGGAGGGAGUGUCACUCUGAACUGCAGAUCCAGUAGCUCUGGUUUUACCAGCAGUCUAGCCUGGUAUGUGCAGAAACCCGGAGGAGCUCCUAAACUCCUCUUCUCUUCACUGAAUAGCCGAGUCUCUGGAGCUCCAGCUCCAUUCACUGACAGCAGCUCAAGAACAAACUUCAUGCUGCCCAUCAGUGGAGUCCAGGCUGAAGAUGCAGGAGAUUACUACUGUCAGCAGCACUAUAGCUUCCAUUAAUGUGACCUUUAAGAGACACACUGCAGAUAUUAACACUGACCACAAGAGGGAGCCAGAGCACCAUGCUGUCAUUAAUGUAAUAACACAGU